AGGAUGAACGCUGGCGGUGUGCCUAACACAUGCAAGUCGAACGAAGCCUUCGGGCUUAGUGGCGGACGGGUGAGUAACACGUUAGUACCUACCCUUUAGUGGGGAAUAACUCGGCGAAAGUCGGGCUAAUACCGCAUACGAUCCUUCGGGAUGAAAGCAUUUAUGCGCUAAAGGAGGGGCUUGCGUCUGAUUAGCUAGUUGGUAGGGUAAUGGCCUACCAAGGCAAUGAUCAGUAGCUGGUUCGAGAGGAUGACCAGCCACACUGGGACUGAGAUACGGCCCAGACUCCUACGGGAGGCAGCAGUGAGGAAUCUUCCGCAAUGGACGAAAGUCUGACGGAGCAACACCGCGUGCAGGAUGACGGCCUUGGGUUGUAAACUGUCUUUUAUUUGGGAAGAUUAUGACGGUACCAAAUGAAUAAGGACCGGCUAACUACGUGCCAGCAGCCGC
This 450-nucleotide ribosomal RNA is filed under the name uncultured bacterium. RNAcentral's name for it is "SSU rRNA". It matches the Rfam family "Bacterial small subunit ribosomal RNA", at positions 26 to 518 of the family's 1533-position model. The record is from RNAcentral.